Molecule: non-coding RNA, 643 nt
Organism: Paralichthys olivaceus (Japanese flounder)
Lineage: Eukaryota; Metazoa; Chordata; Actinopteri; Pleuronectiformes; Paralichthyidae
Source: RefSeq, a predicted model, not a curated record
CCCCCGUCAGGUCACCGUGCUUUAACCUGACCAAGAACCUGAGACAGAAGGCGGUGCAGACGUUUUCACUGCUGGUUUAACUGAGAAACUUGAGACCAACUUCACGUCUUCGUUUGAGGAGCGAGACCCUUAAUUUAAUGGAAGCAAUCAGGCCGACGCAGCUGUGACCUAGAUCUGCUCAAUGGGAACCCAGACCAGCUCUGAUGUCACCUUUGCUCUCACAGUUCCCCCCGACCAAUCGCUUCGCCCCAAGACACCAACAUGAUGGGACAAAACAAAAACGUUGGAACAGACACAUCACCACCAAGUUUUCAGGACUUAAAAUCGGAGAAGACGUGGCCUCACAUCAGCACCUGCACCACUCCUCGUCCUCUGUCCCUCAUGUCUCCAGCCCUGCACGGUGCAGCAUGGGAAACCAAGAGGCCUACAUUGUGUGGUUUGUCCUGUAGGCGAUUUUGACAUGCUGACAUCUUUUAUUGUUUUGGAAAGCUACAAUGGUAAUAAAUGUUAAUAAAAUAUUCAAAGUGGGAACAGCCACUUUCCCGUAUUGUGUUUUAUGCAACAUGUAACGUGAUCACCGCCCUGUCGUUUUGUAAGGAUGUUGUUAUACGAGCCAUCUGCUGGCUGGGUUUUUCUGCUUUGA